RNAcentral lists this ribosomal RNA (468 nucleotides) under uncultured bacterium. RNAcentral describes it as "partial 16S ribosomal RNA". It matches the Rfam family "Bacterial small subunit ribosomal RNA", at positions 28 to 507 of the family's 1533-position model. The record is from RNAcentral.
GACGAACGCUGGCGGCGUGCUUAACACAUGCAAGUCGAACGGAAAGGCCCUGCUUUUGUGGGGUGCUCGAGUGGCGAACGGGUGAGUAACACGUGAGUAACCUGCCCUUGACUUUGGGAUAACUUCAGGAAACUGGGGCUAAUACCGGAUAGGAGCUCCUGCUGCAUGGUGGGGGUUGGAAAGUUUCGGCGGGUGGGGAUGGACUCGCGGCUUAUCAGCUUGUUGGUGGGGUAGUGGCUUACCCAGGCUUUGACGGGUAGCCGGCCUGAGAGGGUGACCGGCCACCUUGGCACUGAGGUACGGCCCAGACUCCUACGGGAGGCAGCAGUGGGGAAUAUUGCACAAUGCGCGGAAGCCUGAUGCAGCAACGCCGCGUGCGGGAUGACGGCCUUCGGGUUGUAAAACGCUUUCACCUGUGACGAAGCGUGAGUGACGGUAAUGGGUAAAGAAGCACCGGCUAACUACGUG